GAUGAACGCUGGCGGCGUGCCUAAUACAUGCAAGUCGAGCGAACAGACGAGGGGCUUGCUCCUCUGACGUUAGCGGCGGACGGGUGCGUCACACGUGGCUCACCUACCUAUAAGACUGGGAUAACUUCGGGAAACCGGAGCUAAUACCGGAUAAUAUAUUGAACCGCAUGGUUCAAUAGUGAAAGACGGUUUUGCUGUCACUUAUAGAUGGAUCCGCGCCGCAUUAGCUAGUUGGUAAGGUAACGGCUUACCAAGGCAACGAUGCGUAGCCGACCUGAGAGGGUGAUCGGCCACACUGGAACUGAGACACGGUCCAGACUCCUACGGGAGGCAGCAGUAGGGAAUCUUGCGCAAUGGGCGAAAGCCUGACGGAGCAACGCCGCGUGAGUGAUGAAGGUCUUCGGGUCGUAAAACUCUGUUAUUAGGGAAGAACAAAUGUGUAAGUAACUAGGCACGGCUUGACGGUACCUAGUCAGAAAGCCACGGCUAACUACGUG
RNAcentral lists this ribosomal RNA (497 nucleotides) under uncultured bacterium. RNAcentral describes it as "partial 16S ribosomal RNA". It matches the Rfam family "Bacterial small subunit ribosomal RNA", at positions 28 to 507 of the family's 1533-position model. The record is from RNAcentral.